Non-coding RNA from Tetranychus urticae (two-spotted spider mite), 3204 nucleotides. Lineage: Eukaryota; Metazoa; Arthropoda; Arachnida; Trombidiformes; Tetranychidae. The record is from RefSeq and is a predicted model, not a curated record.
GUUUAAAAUCAAUUAAUCCAACUUUGCAAGUGUCAAUGUUUCUUCACAGUGUUGUUACUCCAGACAGUCUUGUCUCUUCCUUGUGCCUUUUUCACCACUUUAUUCAACUUUUAGUAAUCAACGGUUAAAGUUUAUUGAUUUCAUCGAACUUGGUACUUGAGCAAUUAUUAAAAUCUGGAUGAUGAAAGGAAAUGGUGUAAGAAAAAGGACCUUGGUUUCCAUGCUUGUCAAUCAAUAGUUUCAAUCAACAUUCAACCUUCUUCCAUGGGCAAAUUUGUAUCAAUAAGAUGACAUGCAGAGACAAAUUUUAGACUCAACCACUAACCUCGAAGGCAUCAUUAAGACUAACUUUCAACUGGAUCAUGUAAUAUACGGAUCUUUUGUUGCUAUUGAUGACAUUAUCGUUUGAUUGAGUUGUUCUGAGUGAAUUCCUUUCCUUCAUCUUUAUCAGUUCAAACUGAUUUCCUGGACUUUGAGUAGAAGGAAAGAAAAAACGUUACAUUUUUUCUCCUUCAUGUAAAACUAAGUCUCAAAUAAGUGAUUCUGUUUAUCGAGAAUUAAAUGAAAAAGGAUUGUGAAGGCAUAAUGCAAGUAAUGCUACAUCAAUGAACCAGUAAAGUAUCAUUUAUGAAAUUAUGAACCAGAUAAAAAUGAAGGAAGGAUAAAAAUGGCCAUAAUCUUAUAAAUGAGGGGAGGUAUCCAUCAUGAAAGAGAUGAACGUUUUACAAAAAGAGUUAAUGAUUGAGGGGGAAAAUAUCAUCAAAACUCCCUUGGUUGGAUGAAAGAGUCUCCAUGAAGAUGAUUCUAAGGUUUCACUAUCCAAUGUAAGAUAUAAUUGAAGCUUUUGAUGGCGUUGGCUUUGGAGUAAUGUUUCAUCCAACCGAAUAAAACAAAUAUCAAACAAGCAAGAAAUAAAGGAGAGACUGGGAAGGAGAGGAAGAAAACUAAACAGUCUAAUUGACUUGAAUCCAAAAUAGUAUGCAGUAAAAGGAUGCUCAAUGAUGUCUCGCCUUACCAUCAAAAAAUCCAGUUGAGAAUGAUGUUGACUGGAAAUAACAAUGGUAAAUACUGGAAAUCAUCAUUAUUUAAUCAUUCCAUUGAUUUGUAGAGAAACCUGAACAGCCGAGAGAGAAGCUUAUUGUUUUUAAUGGGAAAACAAUUUUCACAGUUUGGACCCCAAAAUUAUAAUAGAUUAUUUAUAUCUUUAUUUUUGAUAUGGAAGGAGACGAAAAUUGGAAAAAUCUGAAACAAAGUUGAAAACUUGGAGAAAAGGAUUCAAAAUUAAUACCAGUGAUCAGCCUCACAAUAUAUUAUUAAUGUUCAGUCUUGGUGACUCUGGAAUCGUUCAUUUGACUCAUCGAUUUUUAAUACUUGAAUGGUAAAUUUGUAGCUUUGUGUAACUGCAACUUGAACAAUUGAAUUGGAGUUAUUGGUCUGACCACAUAUUUUCACUGGAAUAAAAUUUUCUGGAUCAAUCUAACAUGAGAAAGUUUGGUUUGAAGGCAACAUAAAACAAGUUAUGAUCAAAUCUUUGGGAAUGGUUGAAGGUUGUCUGAUAAAUCACUUGGAAAUCAAUCCAUGGAAUAGUUUUCUGAGUAAUUUAAUUAUUCCACAAAAUGUUAUCAAUAUUUAAAAUGUUGAUCGUUUGAAGGGAAAUGUCUUAAAUUAAUCAAGAUUCUAAGAAUUCACAAAUCAAAUAAUUGAUGGCUGGAAAAUGGAAGAAUGGAUAAAAUAGUUUGCAGGCAAAGAAUCAGAAGUAAAUUGUUUGGAAUGUAUAGAAACAUUUACAUCAAUUUACUAUACUUUUCCCCUUCUCUUCUCUCUUUACUCACCAAACUAAAGUCAUCAGGAAUCAUCAGGAAUUACAAGAAAAAAAAGAUAGAGAGAAAAGGAAAUGUGUAUAGAUAUAAAUGAACAUUAUUAUGAUUAUUACCAUUAUCAUUUUAUACAGUUUAGUUAAAGGUAAUGAUUAGAUGAGGAGAAAAGUCAGUGAAAUGAUUAAAUUGUAGAGUAACAACAUAAACGUUGCUCAUUCAAUGGAUUAAUGUAAACACAUCUAACCAUCUAUGUUUGUAUUUGGCAUUAUAAAUGUAAAUUGAAGGAGUUUUAGGGAAGAUUUAAACGGAAAGAAAGAGGUGAAAAGAGAAAAUUUGAUACACGAAGAAGAAGAGAGGAGAAGGAAGCAGUUGAUGACUGUUCAUCUAAUGCACAUUAACGUUCAUUUAUCCAGAUUAAUAAUAUUCAAAAUUCAGAGAAAUACAAGAACGUAGAAAGAUUUGUUUUGUAGAUUUUUUUCUCUCUUCUCUCCUCAUUCAGCCUCGCUCUAUCUCUCUUUAACCGUCGUCAUUAUCAUCGAUCCAAUGUUCAUCAAACUCACCCCAUUCCCUUCUAUCGUUGUACAAUGAUCAUUCCAUCCUACAUGAUUUUACUUACAAAGAGUUUCUUUUUGCCUCUUCUCUUUACCUGACUUUUUCUUCUUCUUCUUCUCCUUCUCAUGUUCAUCUUCCCUGAUGCUUCCAACUACUUUGCUCAGGAUAAAUCAUCAGAGAUUUUAUAGAAAUGGUCUUCUCUCUUAGUCUCUCAUAUUCAUCAAAAUCAUCACCAUCACCAGUGUAUUCAUCAUUUACAUUAACAAUUCCUCCAGCUUUUCUCUUCUUCUUCUUGUAUUUUCCCUUUUACUUUUCAAAUCAUUAACUGAACAUGAUCAUUCCUCUAUCGAGUUGCUGAUAGAUUUGUCAUCAUGUUAGUUAUGAAGAUAACAAGGUAAAUGAAUUGGCAGGGUAAAUUAGUUUACAUGAGCGUAUCAUCUUCGUAACAAUUUAUUAGCAAUGGAAACCAAUGACCAGCUUCUUGCCUCUGCAUUGUGACCAGAAGGAAAGCCAUUUAAUCAACGUUACAAUGUAACUAAAUUGUUUAUUGGCCCAUAUCAUUGCAUAUAUCAAUUAACCUUGAUUAUUGACCCUCGUUUUCAAUAAUAUCAUAUUUGAGGAGAAACUUUCUUCAUAAUAUUAAUUAUUAACAAGUUUCAAGUUUGCUGCUCAAACUCAACUCACCAGAAAAGGCAAAUCAAAUUAUCAUUCCAAGUUUUAGAUACAAUACAAUAAAUAUUUGUAUCUGAGCAUGAAUCGAGUUAUAUUUUGAUAGGAAAGAAAUCAAUUAAAUUUUAUAAGCAAUAAAAUUUAUCGGUUAAUAUUAAACUUUAAU